RNAcentral lists this ribosomal RNA (460 nucleotides) under uncultured bacterium. Its description in RNAcentral is "partial 16S ribosomal RNA". It matches the Rfam family "Bacterial small subunit ribosomal RNA", at positions 338 to 795 of the family's 1533-position model. The record is from RNAcentral.
CCUACGGGUGGCAGCAGUGAGGAAUAUUGGUCAAUGGACGAGAGUCUGAACCAUCCAAGUAGCGUGAAGGAUGACUGCCCUAUGGGUUGUAAACUUCUUUUAUAAAGGAAUAAAACGAGGCACGUGUGCCUUUUUGCAUGUACUUUAUUAAUAAGGAUCGGCUAACUCCGUGCCAGCAGCCGCGGUACUACGUAGUAUCCGACCGUUAUCCGGCUUUAUUGGGUUUAAAGGGAGCUUAGAGGGGUUGUUAAGUCAGUUGUGAAAGUUUUCGGCUAACCCGUAAAAUUGCAAUUGAUACUGUCAGUCUUGAGUACAGUUGAGGUAGGAGGAAUUCGUGGUGUAGCGGUGAAAUGCUUAGAUAUCACGAAGAACCCCGAUUGCGAAGGCAGCUUACUAAACUGUGACUGACAUUGAUGCUCGAAAGUGUGGGUAUCAAACAGGAUUAGAUACCCGGGUAGUC